GCCCUACGGGACGCAGCAGCCGCGGUAAUACGUAGGUGGCAAGCGUUGUCCGGAUUUACUGGGUGUAAAGGGCGUGUAGCCGGGUUGACAAGUCAGAUGUGAAAUCCUGCGGCUUAACCGCAGAACUGCAUUUGAAACUGUUGAUCUUGAGUACUGGAGAGGCAGACGGAAUUCCUAGUGUAGCGGUGAAAUGCGUAGAUAUUAGGAGGAACACCAGUGGCGAAGGCGGUCUGCUGGACAGCAACUGACGGUGAGGCGCGAAAGCGUGGGGAGCAAACAGGAUUAGAAACCCGAGUAGUCCAGAU
This 305-nucleotide ribosomal RNA is filed under the name uncultured bacterium. Its description in RNAcentral is "bacterial SSU rRNA". It matches the Rfam family "Bacterial small subunit ribosomal RNA", at positions 498 to 800 of the family's 1533-position model. The record is from RNAcentral.